This 179-nucleotide non-coding RNA is filed under the name bacterium. RNAcentral's name for it is "6S RNA". It matches the Rfam family "6S / SsrS RNA". Rfam says of the family: E. coli 6S RNA was the first non coding RNA to be sequenced, but its function was unknown until recently. It consists of 184 nucleotides that fold into an extended hairpin structure with a large single-stranded internal bulge. The 6S RNA specifically associates with RNA polymerase holoenzyme containing the sigma70 specificity factor. The record is from RNAcentral.
GAUUCCCUGCCCGGCACGUGAUGUGUCGUACAAGUGAGCCAACACUUCACUCAUGGGAUUCCGGAGUUUCCGGUCCAAGGACAGGCCUCCCCGGAGGACUUCCGCGGUCCGGAACAGGAAACCCACCUGGAGCAACUCGGUUCAGUUGCUUCCGACGCACACGACCGGGCGGGGUAGCC